Molecule: ribosomal RNA, 484 nt
Filed under: uncultured bacterium
Lineage: Bacteria
Description: partial 16S ribosomal RNA
Rfam family: Bacterial small subunit ribosomal RNA
Source: RNAcentral
AUUGAACGCUGGCGGCAGGCCUAACACAUGCAAGUCGAGCGGAUGAAGGGAGCUUGCUCCUGGAUUCAGCGGCGGACGGGUGAGUAAUGCCUAGGAAUCUGCCUGGUAGUGGGGGAUAACGUCCGGAAACGGGUGCUAAUACCGCAUACGUCCUGAGGGAGAAAGUGGGGGAUCUUCGGACCUCACGCUCUCAGAUGAGUCUAGGUCGGAUUAGUUAGUUGGUGGGGUAAAGGCCUACCAAGGCGACGAUCCGCAACUGGUCUGAGAGGAUGAUCAGUCACACUGGAACUGAGACACGGUCCAGACUCCUACGGGAGGCAGCAGUGGGGAAUAUUGGGCAAUGGGCGAAAGCCUGAUCCAGCCAUGCCGCGUGUGUGAAGAAGGUCUUCGGAUUGUAAAGCACUUUAAGUGGGGAGGAAGGGCAGUAAGUUAAUACCUUGCUGUUUUGACGGUACCAACAGAAUAAGCACCGGCUAACUUCGUG